This 497-nucleotide ribosomal RNA is filed under the name uncultured bacterium. RNAcentral's name for it is "partial 16S ribosomal RNA". It matches the Rfam family "Bacterial small subunit ribosomal RNA", at positions 28 to 507 of the family's 1533-position model. The record is from RNAcentral.
GAUGAACGCUGGCGGCGUGCCUAAUACAUGCAAGUCGAGCGAACAUAUGAGGAGCUUGCUCCUCUGACGUUAGCGGCGGACGGUUUAGUCACACGUGGAUAACCUACCUAUAAGACUGGGAUAACUUCGGGAAACCGGCGCUAAUACCGGAUAAUAUAUUGAACCGCAUGGUUCAAUAUUGAUUGACGGUUUUGCUGUCACUUAUAGAUGGAUGCGGGCUGUAUUAGCUAGUUGGUAAGGUAACGGCUUACCAAGGCAACGAUGCGUAGCCGACCUGAGAGGGUCAUCGCCCACACUGGAACUGAGACACAGUCCACACACCUACAGUAGGAAACAGUAGGGAAUCUUACGCAAUGCACCAAAGCUUAACGUAACAACACCGCGUGAAUCAUGAAGGUCUUCUGAUCGUAAAACUCUGUUAUUAGUAAAGAACAAAUGUGUAAUUAACUAUGCACAUCUUGACGGUACCUAAACAAAAAGCCACGGCUAACUACGUG